RNAcentral lists this ribosomal RNA (374 nucleotides) under uncultured bacterium. Its description in RNAcentral is "bacterial SSU rRNA". It matches the Rfam family "Bacterial small subunit ribosomal RNA", at positions 524 to 898 of the family's 1533-position model. The record is from RNAcentral.
GACGAACCGUGCGAACGUUGUUCGGAAUCACUGGGCUUAAAGGGCGCGUAGGCGGGCAUCAUAGUCAGGGGUGAAAUCCUCCAGCUCAACUGGAGAAGUGCCUCUGAUACUGGGUGCCUCGAGGGGUGCAGGGGCGUGCGGAACUUCCGGUGGAGCGGUGAAAUGCGUAGAUAUCGGAAGGAACACCGGUGGCGAAGGCGGCACGCUGGACACCUUCUGACGCUGAGGCGCGAAAGCCAGGGGAGCAAACGGGAUUAGAUACCCCGGUAGUCCUGGCCCUAAACGUUGGGCACUGGGUAGCGGCCUUGCAUGGGGUCGCUGCCGCAGCAAAAGUGUUAAGUGCCCCGCCUGGGGAGUAUGGUCGCAAGGCUGAA